GGGUGUAAAGGGUGCGUAGGAGGGCAGGUAAGUCAGUGGUGAAAUCUUCGAGCUUAACUCGGAAACUGCCGUUGAUACUAUCUGUCUUGAAUAUUGUGGAGGUGAGCGGAAUAUGUCAUGUAGCGGUGAAAUGCUUAGAUAUGACAUAGAACACCAAUUGCGAAGGCAGCUCGCUACACAUAUAUUGACUCUGAGGCACGAAAGCGUGGGGAUCAAACAGGAUUAGAUACCCUGGUAGUCCACGCCCUAAACGAUGGAUACUCGACAUACGCGAUACACUGUGUGUGUCUGAGCGAAAGCAUUAAGUAUCCCACCUGGGAAGUACGACCGCAAGGUUGAAACU
Molecule: ribosomal RNA, 343 nt
Filed under: uncultured bacterium
Lineage: Bacteria
Description: bacterial SSU rRNA
Rfam family: Bacterial small subunit ribosomal RNA
Source: RNAcentral